GUGCCAGCCGCCGCGGUAAUACGUAGGUUCCGAGCGUUGUCCGGAUUUAUUGGGCGUAAAGCGAGCGCAGGCGGUUAGAUAAGUCUGAAGUUAAAGGCUGUGGCUUAACCAUAGUACGCUUUGGAAACUGUUUAACUUGAGUGCAAGAGGGGAGAGUGGAAUUCCAUGUGUAGCGGUGAAAUGCGUAGAUAUAUGGAGGAACACCGGUGGCGAAAGCGGCUCUCUGGCUUGUAACUGACGCUGAGGCUCGAAAGCGUGGGGAGCAAACAGGA
RNAcentral lists this ribosomal RNA (272 nucleotides) under uncultured Streptococcaceae bacterium. RNAcentral's name for it is "partial 16S ribosomal RNA". It matches the Rfam family "Bacterial small subunit ribosomal RNA", at positions 505 to 777 of the family's 1533-position model. The record is from RNAcentral. Lineage: Bacteria; Bacillati; Bacillota; Bacilli; Lactobacillales; Streptococcaceae.